RNAcentral lists this ribosomal RNA (200 nucleotides) under uncultured bacterium. RNAcentral describes it as "partial 16S ribosomal RNA". It matches the Rfam family "Bacterial small subunit ribosomal RNA", at positions 8 to 208 of the family's 1533-position model. The record is from RNAcentral.
AGAGUUUGAUCCUGGCUCAGGACGAACGCUGGCGGCGUGCUUAACAAAUGCAAGUCGAACGAAGGUUAUAGCAAUAUAAUCUUAGUGGCGGACUGGUGCGUAACGCGUGGGCAACCUGCCUCAUACAGGGGAAUAACACUGGGAAACUAGUGCUAAUACCGCAUAACACAGCACUAUGGCAUCAUAGAGUUGUCAAAGGA